This 315-nucleotide signal recognition particle RNA is filed under the name Thermoplasmata archaeon. RNAcentral describes it as "signal recognition particle sRNA". It matches the Rfam family "Archaeal signal recognition particle RNA". Lineage: Archaea; Methanobacteriati; Thermoplasmatota; Thermoplasmata. The record is from RNAcentral.
GUGUAGAAUAGGCUGGGGGGUCAGGCGUCCCCUGUUACCGGAAAUCGUCUUCAGCCGGAGCCGAAGUCGAGAGGCGGUGUUGCAUGCAGCUGCUGAUCCGCCUGCAGACUAUGAGACCUUGUCCUUCGGGAUCGAAGGUGAAGGUAGCAUGCAACUGGAGGGUUGCAUGCCCUUCUUUAUUGCGGGGACCAGGCCAGGCCCGGAAGGGAGCAGCCUCACCGCAAACUCUCGAUGCUCGAAGGGUUAGCAGGGUCGAGAAAGCAGGUGGGUAAAUCAGUAUGCUGCAAUGCACAUCCACUCGAGACGCUUCUACAC